GAUGAAGAAAGUAGCGAAAUGCGAUACUUUGUGUGAAUUGCAGAAUCCCGUGAACCAUCGAGUCUUUGAACGCAAGUUGCGCCCGAAGCCAUUAGGCCGAGGGCACGCCUGCCUAGGCGUCACACGUCGUUGCCCCCCCAUCUACUCCUUCGGGAUUGCGGGGGGCGGAUGAUGGCCUCCCGUGCGCCUCGUCGCGCGGUUGGCAUAAAUGCCAAGUCCUCGGCGACACACGCCACGACAAUCGGUGGUUGCGAAACCUCGGUUGCCCGUCGUGUGCGGUCGUCGCGCAUCGAGGGCUCGAAAAAAUUGCCGGGCUCCGGCUCGGCUUUCAACGCGACCCCAGGUCAGGCGGGGUUACCCGCUGAAUUUAAGCAUAUCAAUAAGCGGAGGA
This 391-nucleotide unclassified non-coding RNA is filed under the name soil metagenome. RNAcentral describes it as "partial contains 5.8S ribosomal RNA, internal transcribed spacer 2, and large subunit ribosomal RNA". The stretch from base 1 to 122 matches the Rfam family "5.8S ribosomal RNA", at positions 35 to 154 of the family's 154-position model. The record is from RNAcentral.